RNAcentral lists this ribosomal RNA (1836 nucleotides) under human oral metagenome. RNAcentral's name for it is "bacterial LSU rRNA". It matches the Rfam family "Bacterial large subunit ribosomal RNA", at positions 829 to 2317 of the family's 2925-position model. The record is from RNAcentral.
CCAAUCGAACUCGGAGAUAGCUGGUUCUCCUCGAAAUAGCUUUAGGGCUAGCGUCGUGUUAGUAGCACAUGGGGGUAGAGCUCUGUAAAGGACUGGGGCGGGCAACUGUACCCACCCUUAACAAACUACGAAUACCAUGUGUGUAAUCACGGCAGUUAGAACAUCGGUGCUAAGAUCGGUGCUCAAAAGGGAAACAGCCCAGACCAUCAUCUAAGGUCCCUAAAUUAACGUUCAGUGGGAAACAAGGUGAGAUUUCUUAAACAGCUAGGAUGUUGGCUUAGAAGCAGCCAUUCAUUUAAAGAGUGCGUAACAGCUCACUAGUCAAGAGAUCUUGCGUGGAAAAUGUAACGGGGCUAAAACGUUAUACCGAAGAUAUGGAUUACACGCUAAGUACAAAGUUAAAGUUGUGUUACAAUCAAUUUAUGGAAAAUGAGAUUUAUGUAGGUAGCGUUUAUAAACACUAUAAAGGCAAUAAGUAUGUUGUUGUAAGUAUAGCUGUUCAUACUGAGACGCUUGAAGAGCUUGUAGUUUAUCGAGCCAUUUAUGGCGACGGAGAACUGUGGGCUAGACCUAAGAAAAUGUUUUUAGAUAAUAUUGAAAAAAGACGGAAAGAUCAUUCCAAGGUUUAAAUUGAUUAAGAAACUUUGAUUUUGUUCUUAGUGUGUAGUGGUAGAGGAGCGUUCCUAUCAGCGGUGAAGUCGAAUCGGAAGGUUCGGUGGAGCGGUAGGAAGUGAGAAUGCUGGAAUGAGUAACCAUAAGAGAGGUGAGAAUCCUCUCGGCCGUAAGAGCAAGGUUUCCUGAGCCAUGGUAAUCAUCUCAGGGUUAGUCGGGCCUAAGCCGAGGCGCAGAGCGUAGGCGAUGGACAUCAGGUUAAUAUUCCUGAACCGGUUAAGUUUUGUACACUGUUCACGGGGAAGUAAUCGAAGCGGAUUCAUGGUUUAUCCGUCCAACCGAGCGGGAACGCAAAGGGAGUGAAAGUGAUUCUUCGGAGUCGCGAUUUUGGUGAAAGCCCUGGCUAGAAAAGCAGGUGUACGCGUGGACUUAGCCGCCCGUACCGCAAACCAACACAGGUGCUCGAGUCGAGUAGACUCAGGCUUACGAGCGAACCUUCGCUAAGGAACUCGGCAAUACAGCGACCGUAACUUCGGGAUAAGGUCUGCCCCCACUUCGGUGGAUAUCAGCCGCGUUCACUCAGUGAAUAUUAGGUUAAAGAGUACAUUUUUAAUCACAAAACGAAUUUUCUGAGAUAGAGCAAACGAAUUGUUCUUUUGAACGCGAACCUCUGGCAUCUAACGAUGUGGGGGCCGCAGCAAAAGAGCCCACGGAACUGUUUAUCAAAAACACAGGUCUCUGCUAACACGAAAGUGGAUGUAUAGGGGCUGACUCCUGCCCAAUGCUGGAAGGUUAAGGGGAGCGCUUCACGGUGCGAACUGAAGCCCUAGUCAAUGGCGGCGGUAACUAUAACCGUCCUAAGGUAGCGAAAUUCCUUGUCAGGUAAGUUCUGACCCGCACGAAUGGAGUAAUCAUGUGGGCACUGUCUCAGCGAAGGACUCGGUGAAAGUGCAUUGGCGGUAAAGAUGCCGUCUGUCCGUACCAGGACGAAAAGACCCCAUGGAGCUUUACUACAGCUUUACAUUGAAUAUGGUUUCAACAUGUGUAGCAUAGGUGGGAGACUUUGAAGCAGAUACGCCAGUAUUUGUGGAGUCACCAAGUGAAAUACCACCCUUGUUGUGAUUGUGUUCUCACGCUGACCGUUAUCCGGUUAGCGGACCGUGUAUGGUGGGUAGUUUAACUGGGGCGGUUGCCUCCUAAAGAGUAGCGGAGGCGUUCAAAGGU